This 468-nucleotide ribosomal RNA is filed under the name uncultured bacterium. RNAcentral describes it as "partial 16S ribosomal RNA". It matches the Rfam family "Bacterial small subunit ribosomal RNA", at positions 28 to 507 of the family's 1533-position model. The record is from RNAcentral.
GAUGAACGCUGGCGGCGUGCUUAACACAUGCAAGUCGAACGGAAAGGCCCUGCUUUUGUGGGGUGCUCGAGUGGCGAACGGGUGAGUAACACGUGAGUAACCUGCCCUUGACUUUGGGAUAACUUCAGGAAACUGGGGCUAAUACCGGAUAGGAGCUCCUGCUGCAUGGUGGGGGUUGGAAAGUUUCGGCGGUUGGGGCUGGACUCGCGGCUUAUCAGCUUGUUGGUGGGGUAGUGGCUUACCAAGGCUUUGACGGGUAGCCGGCCUGAGAGGGUGACCGGCCACAUUGGGACUGAGAUGCGGCACAGACUCCUACGGGAGGCAGCAGGGGGGAAUAUUGCACAAUGGGCGGAAGCCUGAUGCAGCAACGCCGCGGGCGGGAUGACGGCCUUCGGGUUGUAAACCGCUUUCGCCUGUGACGAAGCGUGAGUGACGGUAAUGGGUAAAGAAGCACCGGCUAACUACGUG